CACAACUCGAUUUAAAAUAAAACCCAGAUCAACAAAUCCUUGAUUAGCUCUAAACUUUGCUUAAAUUAAUCCUUGUUGGUGCAACUCACCCUUUGUGUGCUUUUUUCGUAUUGUCAAACGGCGAGGAUGAGAUCCAGCGGCCUUCACUAACAUGACGCAGUUUGACAUUUUCACCGUAACAGUCAUCUGACAGAUGGACGGAUGGGUGCUAAGCCAAAGGGCAGUUCCUGAAGACAGAUGUUGCGACAACCUCUGGAAUGUCAGUCUGUCAGUUCCAGUUCCACCAGCCACACUAGACUCUGCUGUAUGUGGAGGCCCUUAUGUGUGUACUUUUCAUUAUUGUGCAUGCAGAUAUUAUUCAGGUACGUGAACGCUUGACUAUUGCAUGAAUAAUGAAUGUGCCAUCUUUGAAUGUACCAGCAUUUUAAUUGGUUAAUUGCAGUUGAAAUAAAAAAUGAAUUAGAAAUCCCC
RNAcentral lists this long non-coding RNA (471 nucleotides) under Sinocyclocheilus anshuiensis. RNAcentral's name for it is "lncRNA (ENSSANG00000032437.1)". The record is from RNAcentral. Lineage: Eukaryota; Metazoa; Chordata; Actinopteri; Cypriniformes; Cyprinidae.